This is a long non-coding RNA of Syzygium oleosum, 1326 nucleotides long. RefSeq lists it as uncharacterized. NCBI's taxonomy places the organism in Eukaryota, Viridiplantae, Streptophyta, Magnoliopsida, Myrtales, Myrtaceae. The record is from RefSeq and is a predicted model, not a curated record. The transcript has 3 exons.
UUAUUAUUUAUUAUAAUGUUAACAAGUUGGGUUAUUUCUGUAAUUGUGCUAGGCUUAAGGUUAAGCCUAUAUAUAUACUUCUUGUGUUUUCUUUGUAACUUAACAAAAAUAGAAGAGAGAGAAAGCCAACUUUUUCCACAUGGUAUCAGAGCAUUGGCUCUCUUUUCUCUCUCUCUCUUCAUCUCCUCCAGCUCGUGCCCUACCCGUGCGAGCUCUCCUUCUCGCCUCCAGCUGGUGCGACUAAGCUGCUCCAGCUGGUGCGACCUGCUCCAGCUCACUUGGCGGGAGAAGUGAGCCCGGUUGAAGUUUUGGGUCACACUCAUUUCUCGCCUCUAGCUUGUGCGACUGAGCCGCCUCCCUCUCCUGUUCGCCGCGUGCUCAAGGCCGAUCGUGGUCCUCAAUUUCAUGUGGAACCUGGUCUUCGCGGUGGUCGUGCUCCUGUCCGCCUUCAAGGAGAGGUUGUCCACUCCUCUAAGGCUGUGGCUCUGCGGAUGAUUAGUCAAAGAUCACGUGGGUGUGAGCGGACUGUCGCGGCUGCCGAUUCGCAGCAGGUGAGGCCUCGAUUCGUGUAUUCUGAGACGUUACAUUGGUGUAUUGCCCGUGUUGUUGCUGUUCCGAGCUGAAAAUUGAAGCUUUAUGGGUUGUAAGGACUCGUUUAAUUGUUAUUGUGGUGUCAUUUUGAAUCGAUCAGUGAGUUUUUUAUGAGGUGAUCAAUCUAUGUUGGUGAUAGUAGUAGUUGGCUAAGGGACGUGUGAUCACUAGACAUUGGUUCUUUAUUUGGAAGUGGUGUUGAAGACAGAUUUUUGUUGGGGGUUUCCGAUUAGUCAAAUUUGUGGAUAUGUCUACGGAUCCAGCAAACUCUCCGUCUAAUGUUUCAGGGGUGAUCCCUCCUAAUGCUACUUCUAGUUCAGGGUCUUUUGGUACCUAUCAGAGUGGUACUCAUGGUAUGACAGGCUUACACACUACCUUGGUUAAGUUGGAUGGUACCAAUUAUCCUACUAGGUCAAUGGCUCUUUCUACUUUUAUUUAUGCUAAUCGUCAGUCUAGAUGGCUUGAAGAGGAACCACCUGCAGAUCCAGCUAGUCAAGAAGAAUGGAAGGUCACUGAUGCUACAUUGCAUACUCUUUUAUGGGGGAGUAUGGCUGAAUCUGUCCGCCAUCUUUUCAUGGAUUGUACGACAGCCCGUGAGCUAAAAUUGGUGAUGCCGGGUUGGGAGAGUAUUAUGCUCGUUUUUCAUUCUUUGUAUCAACGUCUCAAAUCCUACCUUCCACCGGCUACCACGGUUACUCAAAUGCAACAACGAGAAGUGAAUAUGGUGGUAGUCCU